This 123-nucleotide non-coding RNA is filed under the name Ctenophora environmental sample. Lineage: Eukaryota; Metazoa; Ctenophora. The record is from RNAcentral.
CUUCGAACCAGCACCAAGAGGAUUACGCGUGAAGCGGAGAAAGCUAUGGUUGAGCACCAAAAGUUGGAACUGGCCAUCGAAGAGAAGACUCAGGAAUUUCGGAGCUUGGAGAAAAUCAACGAU